AUAUAAGCAAAAUUGACUUUUUUGGUUCAUUCAUUUAAUGAUGUAUAUGAUCCAUAUUAUGAACCACAUACAUCAUUAAAUGAAUGAACCUAAAAAAUUAAUUUUGCUUAUAU
Molecule: microRNA precursor, 113 nt
Organism: Medicago truncatula (barrel medic)
Lineage: Eukaryota; Viridiplantae; Streptophyta; Magnoliopsida; Fabales; Fabaceae
Rfam family: MIR2593 microRNA precursor family
Source: Rfam